Molecule: ribosomal RNA, 253 nt
Filed under: uncultured bacterium
Lineage: Bacteria
Description: partial 16S ribosomal RNA
Rfam family: Bacterial small subunit ribosomal RNA
Source: RNAcentral
UACGGGGGGGGCAAGCGUUGUUCGGAAUUACUGGGCGUAAAGGGCUCGUAGGCGGCCAACUAAGUCCGACGUGAAAUCCCCAGGCUUAACCUGGGAACUGCGUCGGAUACUGGAUGGCUUGAAUUCGGGAGAGGAAUGCAGAAUUCCAGGUGUAGCGGUGAAAUGCGUAGAUAUCUGGAGGAAUACCGGUGGCGAAGGCGGCAUCCUGGACCGAGAUUGACGCUGAGGAGCGAAAGCUAGGGGAGCAAACGGG